Molecule: long non-coding RNA, 2741 nt
Filed under: Volvox carteri
Lineage: Eukaryota; Viridiplantae; Chlorophyta; Chlorophyceae; Chlamydomonadales; Volvocaceae
Description: long non-coding RNA (VCAR_LNC001427)
Source: RNAcentral
UUAGCUAUAGGUGUAACGCAUACGCAUGCGAAUGGUGCGAAUGCGUAUGCACAUGCGAAUGUGGCGAAUGAAUUCGCGAGUUUUACGCGACCCUAAACGCGACCAGGUGACUUUUAACGCGAGCGUAUCGCCAAACGCAAGGGAUAGUGAAUGGCAUACGCGACUGCGAAUCCUGCGAAUGUAUGUGCUACCAUUUGAAUUUUACGCGAGUGACUGCGACUUGCGUGCGGGACUGCGAACUGUACGGCCAACCGUGCAAUACAAAAGCUUUACAAUAGCAGUACACGAGCUGUACAAUAUGCAAAGUGCACCGCCGUUGCACAUGACCUGCAGGUUCACAGCUGUGAACCACAGCACUCACUGCUUUCUUCAUACAUUUGAACUAUCCCUGAAUGACAGGUACGAAUUCAUAGCAAAUCCUAACAUGACCGAUGCAACUCAGCCAGCAACUCUUACCAUGGAAAAGGGUCCAACAGUCUAACGUCAGAAAAAAUGGACACACAAAUGUUAAGCGCAUGUAAAUGUACCACAAUACAGCCACUAUUGUCUUCUUAUUAAAGCGCUCAAUCCUCGCCUCCGCUGAUGUCAUCUUCACGAACGACGGCAUAUAUCUGCAUAUCAAAGGAUCACAACAAAUCAUUGUUUAGGCAGGAAAACAUAGUUGUGAGCAUGUUACGUACAAUGACGGCUGUAGGUGUAACACCGGCGUAACGUGCCACGAAAUAAGGCAAUAAAAAGCAUUUAGUUAAUAGCCAUGGUCUUGCAACCAGAGGCUUCAUACCUCCGAACGGCCGCUUCGUGGCCUGCCACGUCCCGUUUGAGCCCGACUCUUGUUCAUAUCCUUACCACCAUCCUUGCGCUUGUCCUAUUCCUUGCGAUUCUCCUGCUCGUGUCCUUGGAAUGUAAAAUGACAAGGCAUAAUGUCAGUGUAUGCACCUGCAUGAUGGCCACUUACUGCCGGUGGCGUCUAGUCCCCCUUUUCCUGCUUUCCCCUGCUUGCCUGCGAAUGAAUGCUGCGCCAUUAUAAAGACAGAUUCUUGUUAAGCAGCCCCUCGCACAAAUGUGUCCGGUCGUACUUCGCGAAUAAAAGGUCCGUACAUCACGCCCCAAAAGCCAGGAGCGAAUUUCACCGCGCGGGUGCGCGCGUGCGAUUCGCAAAAUGCGCGUGUACAAGUGUAUAUAAAUUUUCUUAGAAGAAAGGCCGCGGUGCGUCAGCGCGGUGCGCAGGAAGGCAUGCUGGCCACAGGCGCACGCGGCAUGCAGGCUGGACUAUUGCAUGGCUGCUUUGCAGUAACUGAAAGCACCGAAAGCCUACGUCGUAGCUUGCAAGACUGGGCUCGUGAAACUGCCGCGGGAAGAGGAAGCGUCUGGCGAAGAGGCAGUUGUAUGCAGCACCUUGUUCAGAGUAAAGUCAAAUUACAAAGUUGCGCAAAGUAUAACAUACAUCAACUUAAUUAAACAUAAGAACAGAUAAGACGUGUAGAGCCUUGUCGGUGACAUGGACGCCGCUGUUGGCUUGGAACAGCUAUUUGCUGUGCAUAGGGACGUGCCCGCGUUAGCCGUGUUGCAACAGCUCAGGAUGGAUUUCAGCCAACAAAGCCUCANNNNNNNNNNNNNNNNNNNNNNNNNNNNNNNNNNNNNNNNNNNNNNNNNNCGCGAGCGUAUCGCCAAACGCAAGGGAUAGUGAAUGGCAUACGCGACUGCGAAUCCUGCGAAUGUAUGUGCUACCAUUUGAAUUUUACGCGAGUGACUGCGACUUGCGUGCGGGACUGCGAACUGUACGGCCAACCGUGCAAUACAAAAGCUUUACAAUAGCAGUACACGAGCUGUACAAUAUGCAAAGUGCACCGCCGUUGCACAUGACCUGCAGGUUCACAGCUGUGAACCACAGCACUCACUGCUUUCUUCAUACAUUUGAACUAUCCCUGAAUGACAGGUACGAAUUCAUAGCAAAUCCUAACAUGACCGAUGCAACUCAGCCAGCAACUCUUACCAUGGAAAAGGGUCCAACAGUCUAACGUCAGAAAAAAUGGACACACAAAUGUUAAGCGCAUGUAAAUGUACCACAAUACAGCCACUAUUGUCUUCUUAUUAAAGCGCUCAAUCCUCGCCUCCGCUGAUGUCAUCUUCACGAACGACGGCAUAUAUCUGCAUAUCAAAGGAUCACAACAAAUCAUUGUUUAGGCAGGAAAACAUAGUUGUGAGCAUGUUACGUACAAUGACGGCUGUAGGUGUAACACCGGCGUAACGUGCCACGAAAUAAGGCAAUAAAAAGCAUUUAGUUAAUAGCCAUGGUCUUGCAACCAGAGGCUUCAUACCUCCGAACGGCCGCUUCGUGGCCUGCCACGUCCCGUUUGAGCCCGACUCUUGUUCAUAUCCUUACCACCAUCCUUGCGCUUGUCCUAUUCCUUGCGAUUCUCCUGCUCGUGUCCUUGGAAUGUAAAAUGACAAGGCAUAAUGUCAGUGUAUGCACCUGCAUGAUGGCCACUUACUGCCGGUGGCGUCUAGUCCCCCUUUUCCUGCUUUCCCCUGCUUGCCUGCGAAUGAAUGCUGCGCCAUUAUAAAGACAGAUUCUUGUUAAGCAGCCCCUCGCACAAAUGUGUCCGGUCGUACUUCGCGAAUAAAAGGUCCGUACAUCACGCCCCAAAAGCCAGGAGCGAAUUUCACCGCGCGGGUGCGCGCGUGCGAUUCGCAAAAUGCGCGUGUACAAGUGUAUAUAAAUUUUCUUAGAAGAAAGGCCN